ACGCUAGCUACAGGCUUAACACAUGCAAGUCGAGGGGAAACGGCAUUUAGUGCUUGCACUGAAUGGACGUCGACCGGCGCACGGGUGAGUAACGCGUAUCCAACCUUCCCAUUACUUUGGGAUAACCUGCCGAAAGGCAGACUAAUACCUCAUAGUCUUCGAUGACGGCAUCAGAUUUGAAGUAAAGAUUUAUCGGUAAUGGAUGGGGAUGCGUCUGAUUAGCUUGUUGGCGGGGUAACGGCCCACCAAGGCAACGAUCAGUAGGGGUUCUGAGAGGAAGGUCCCCCACAUUGGAACUGAGACACGGUCCAAACUCCUACGGGAGGCAGCAGUGAGGAAUAUUGGUCAAUGGACGGAAGUCUGAACCAGCCAAGUAGCGUGCAGGAUGACGGCCCUAUGGGUUGUAAACUGCUUUUGUAUGGGGAUAAAGUCAAUCACGUGUGAUUGUUUGCAGGUACCAUACGAAUAAGGACCGGCUAAUUCCGUGCCAGCAGCCGCGGUAAUACGGAAGGUUCGGGCGUUAUCCGGAUUUAUUGGGUUUAAAGGGAGCGUAGGCCGGAGAUUAAGUGUGUUGUGAAAUGUAGACGCUCAACGUCUGACUUGCAGCGCAUACUGGUUUCCUUGAGUACGCACAACGUUGGCGGAAUUCGUCGUGUAGCGGUGAAAUGCUUAGAUAUGACGAAGAACUCCGAUUGCGAAGGCAGCUGACGGGAGCGCAACUGACGCUGAAGCUCGAAGGUGCGGGUAUCGAACAGGAUUAGAUACCCUGGUAGUCCGCACAGUAAACGAUGGAUGCCCGCUGUUGGUACCUGGUAUCAGCGGCUAAGCGAAAGCAUUAAGCAUCUCACCUGGGGAGUACGCCGGCAACGGUGAAACUCAAAGGAAUUGACGGGGCCCCGCACA
This 903-nucleotide ribosomal RNA is filed under the name uncultured bacterium. RNAcentral's name for it is "bacterial SSU rRNA". It matches the Rfam family "Bacterial small subunit ribosomal RNA", at positions 33 to 927 of the family's 1533-position model. The record is from RNAcentral.